Molecule: ribosomal RNA, 465 nt
Filed under: uncultured bacterium
Lineage: Bacteria
Description: partial 16S ribosomal RNA
Rfam family: Bacterial small subunit ribosomal RNA
Source: RNAcentral
CCUACGGGUGGCAGCAGUAGGGAAUCUUCCACAAUGGGCGAAAGCCUGAUGGAGCAACGCCGCGUGGGUGAAGAAGGUCUUCGGAUCGUAAAACCCUGUUGUUAGAGAAGAAAAUGCGUGAGAGUAACUGUUCACGUUUCGACGGUAUCGUACCAGCAACCGACGGCAAACUUCGUGCCAGCAGCCGCGGUAAUACGUAGGUGGCAAGCGUUAUCCGGAUUUAUUGGGCGUAAAGGGAACGCAGUCGGGCGUGUAAGUCUGAUGUGAAAGCCCUCGGCUUAACCGGAGUAGUGCAUUGGAAACUGGGCGACUUGAGUGCAGAAGAGGAGAGUGGAACUCCAUGUGUAGCGGUGAAAUGCGUAGAUAUAUGGAAGAACACCAGUGGCGAAGGCGGCUCUCUGGUCUGUAACUGACGCUGAGGUUCGAAAGCGUGGGUAGCAAACAGGAUUAGAUACCCUUGUAGUC